This is a transfer RNA of Halorientalis sp. IM1011, 75 nucleotides long. It matches the Rfam family "tRNA". Rfam says of the family: Transfer RNA (tRNA) molecules are approximately 80 nucleotides in length. Lineage: Archaea; Methanobacteriati; Methanobacteriota; Halobacteria; Halobacteriales; Haloarculaceae. The record is from Rfam.
GGGUUCGUGGUCUAGAUCGGUUACGACACCUCCUUGACAUGGAGGAGGCCGACGGUUCAAAUCCGUCCGAACCCA